ACCCGCUGAACUUAAGCAUAUCAAUAAGCGGAGGAAAAGAAACCAACAGGGAUUACCUCAGUAACGGCGAGUGAAGCGGUAACAGCUCAAAUUUGAAAUCUGCCGCAAGGCCGAGUUGUAAUUUGUAGAAGAUGCUUUGGGUAUGGCCCCGGUCUAAGUUCGUUGGAACACGACGUCAUAGAGGGUGAGAAUCCCGUAUGUGACUGGGUGCUUUUGCCUAUGUAAAGCUCUUUCGACGAGUCGAGUUGUUUGGGAAUGCAGCUCAAAAUGGGUGGUAUAUUUCAUCUAAAGCUAAAUAUUGGCCAGAGACCGAUAGCGCACAAGUAGAGUGAUCGAAAGAUGAAAAGCACUUUGGAAAGAGAGUUAAACAGUACGUGAAAUUGUUGAAAGGGAAGCGCUUGCAACCAGACUUGCACGCUGUUGAUCAUCCAGGCUUCUGUCUGGUGCACUCGGCAGCGUUCAGGCCAGCAUCGGUUCUGGUGGUGGGAUAAAGGCCUUGGGAAUGUAGCUUCUUUCGGGGAGUGUUAUAGCCCUCGGUGCAAUGCCGCCUACCGGGACCGAGGACCGCGCUUCGGCUAGGAUGCUGGCGUAAUGGUUGUAAGCGACCCGUCUUGAAACACGG
This 622-nucleotide ribosomal RNA is filed under the name uncultured fungus. RNAcentral describes it as "eukaryotic LSU rRNA". It matches the Rfam family "Eukaryotic large subunit ribosomal RNA", at positions 23 to 664 of the family's 3401-position model. Lineage: Eukaryota; Fungi. The record is from RNAcentral.